GUGACUAAUGUCUGUGCUUCAUUGGAUCAGCCAGUGACAACAAAGAAGGGUUACAAUAUCUAUCAUUUUCACAAAAUGAUUGAUAGGAGGACUGUUCAAAGCCAAACUGCUGCCCAUAAUGGUAUAGCAGUGUAAAGUACAAUGUUGUCGGUGAAAAGAUGCAGCUGCUGCUGAAGGACGGCUAUGCACAUUUCCUGGCUGAACUCACAGUCCUUGGCCUCAGCGAAAACAGCCUCUCUAGAUAGCAGAGGGAAUGAAAAAAUUGAUAUCGGGCUGAACGCUUCUUGCUCAGUUGGUUGUCAUUACACUAGUGACACUGGAGCACAAGCUGACCUGGAACAGCCUGUAUAUGAUGGAAACCACUUUCAGCCGGGAGCACGGCAGCACCUCCAGUACCCAUAGUCCCAGCACUUAUUCUGGAGCAUGUUGUGUGGAUGUGGAGUGGAGUGGAUGUGUCUAAGCUCUUGUGGAAGGAAGAUGAUCUCAAAACACAAGAAGAUCUACUUCUGAUGGCUCAUCUCAAUCAAUUACUUACUCUAACUUGAGGAACAGCCAAAUUAAAACUAAAUAGGUAUAGAAUAGAUAUAGAUAGAGUAUCUAAACAAGAUUUCUGCAGUGCUGGCUCCUGUUCUGAAUCAUUCCCGGAAGCACCAAAUUGCCACUUACUGGAACUCCCUGUUCUGCACACCACAGAGCCUCCCAACGAGCUCUCAGAGACACUUAGUACUGUACAUGCCAACAGAUAAAUUCCACUUCGCUUACUGGCCCUUUGUGUGAAGAAUGUUACAACUUGUCAUCAAAGGUUGGGAAUUCUGUAUUAUAGAAUCAUAGAAUA
Long non-coding RNA from Mauremys mutica (yellowpond turtle), 835 nucleotides. RefSeq lists it as uncharacterized. The transcript has 3 exons. Lineage: Eukaryota; Metazoa; Chordata; Testudines; Geoemydidae. The record is from RefSeq and is a predicted model, not a curated record.